This 457-nucleotide ribosomal RNA is filed under the name Viridothelium virens. RNAcentral describes it as "eukaryotic LSU rRNA". It matches the Rfam family "Eukaryotic large subunit ribosomal RNA", at positions 139 to 631 of the family's 3401-position model. Lineage: Eukaryota; Fungi; Ascomycota; Dothideomycetes; Trypetheliales; Trypetheliaceae. The record is from RNAcentral.
CGAGUUGUAAUUUGCAGAGGAUGCUUCGGAUUCUGCUCCGGCCUAAGUCUUUUGGAACAAGGCGUCAAGGAGGGUGAAAAUCCCGUAUUUUCGGAUUCCAGUUUCCAUGUGAAGCUCCUUCGAAGAGUCGAGUUGUUUGGGAAUGCAGCUCUAAAGGGGAGGUAAAUUUCUUCCAAAGCUAAAUAUCUGCUAGAGACCGAUAGCGCACAAGUAGAGUGAUCGAAAGAUGAAAAGCACUUUGAAAAGAGAGUUAAACAGCACGUGAAAUGGUUAAAAGGGAAGCUUAUGCAGCCAGAUAUGAUUCAAAGGCUCAGCCUUAUGGUGUAUUCCUUUGAAUCGGGUCAGCAUCAGUCUAGGCAGCUGGAUAAAAGCUUCGGGAAUGUAGCUCUUCGGAGUGUUAUAGCCCGAUUCAACAUGCAGCUAGCUCAGUCUGAGGUCCGCUUAUAGGAUGCUGACG